UUUUAUUUACAGGAAAAACUGUUUUUAUUUCAAAUCUGCACAACGCAGGAAAAUUAAUUGAAGCUUUCAACUAAUAUUAUAUUUUUGAAAUACUUAGUUUCUCAAUUUAAUUUUAGACUGGAACCUAUAAGUUCUGACUUUUUGAGUAAGUUCUGAUACAUUUAAAUUAGUUGUAUUACUAUGAAUAUAAAUUUUAAUUUUCAAAGUUUUCAUGUUUUUAAGAUCUUAAAGUUAAUUUUAUAAUUUGUAUGUUAUAAUUUUACGAUUUCAAAUAGUUGUAAUUCCAUAUUUUUUUACACCAACAAUGUUAUAAUCAUUAUGAAGAUACAGCAAGUGUUCUGUGUUUAGAACGAGUUUUUACACCUCGAAAACGUUUAUAGAUUUCGAGUAAAGUGGGCCUAAAUACCUUGGUGCCGUGUGGUGACGGCAGAUUAGAAUACAGUUGUCACAACCCCACCUCUUCCCGCGGGUGUCGUACGAGGCGACUAAGGGAAUAUAGCGGAGGACGGGCAGCAGCGUCCUCUGUGCUUCUACUCUACCAUCUACUGCGAUCUUAUUGAAGUUUUAGGUCCAUUUUAUGUAUGACUUUAUUGUCCUAUACUGAUAACUAUUAGUUUUUAAACGAUGUUGAUACCUAGUUUCUACCAGUAGUUAUUUAACUAAGCUUGAAGUUCACAUCGGUAACAUUUCUAUUUGACCUUUGCUACCAUAAAAAGGUUUUCUGCGGCUUAGAAAACCGUAUUUGUAUCGAAUUGAACUC
Maniola jurtina (meadow brown) is the source of this 760-nucleotide long non-coding RNA. RefSeq lists it as uncharacterized. The record is from RefSeq and is a predicted model, not a curated record. The transcript is spliced from 3 exons. Lineage: Eukaryota; Metazoa; Arthropoda; Insecta; Lepidoptera; Nymphalidae.